Oncorhynchus mykiss (rainbow trout) is the source of this 1636-nucleotide long non-coding RNA. NCBI's taxonomy places the organism in Eukaryota, Metazoa, Chordata, Actinopteri, Salmoniformes, Salmonidae. The record is from Ensembl.
GUGCUGAUCUCCCUCUAUCCUCCCUACAUCUCCUGGUGCCACCACUACAUCUGAAGUCUGCUUUCAUGUGGCAAGUGGCUCAGCAGCAUGACAUGAUGCAGUAUGGGAAGCUGGAGGAGUUUGUGACUGGUAACUAGAGAUGGUUCCGGAGCUGCUGACCUUAAGGCAGAGGGUCCAUCUCAUCCUGGGACUGAGAGCGAGGGUGAGAUGGGUGGAAGUGUUUAGGGUGGAGAAUGGUGUAGGGUCGGGGGUGAAAUUCAGACUUUUGUUCGCCCCUGGAUCUCAGACAUGGGAUCGCUCUCGUCACAAUUUCCUGAAAGCCUUGUAUUCACUCCUUAUCAGUUACAUAUUUGACUCCUCAGUUUGUCUCCUCAGUAUAUAAAAUGCAUACAUCUCCUGUUUCAGCUGGUUCUUGAAUUUUGUGGUGGUGUGUAGUCUAACCCAGCUGGGUACAAAACCAUCCAGCCCCACCUAGACAGAAUCCAUUCAUGCACAAUGCGUGAGGUGGUACUUAACCUGCAAUAUGUGUAACACACACCAGUCUGUUAAAGGCAAGUCUGCUUUACCUAGUUGCAGAUGUUUGCAAUUGUUUUGUGUGUGAUUGCAUAUUCAGAGCAAAGAUAAAGAAGUGGAGGCAUCAACAGAUAAAGAAGUGGAGUUGGUCCAAACACUGCUAGAAGAGGGAACACUUCAGGUGAGAUAAUAUCUAAUGUCUAGAUCAUGUCACAAAUCCUUGCUUCAAAGGACUAGAAUGACCUUGAGGGGAAUAUUGAGUAUGAUUUGACUACUACUUACGGUAUGCCUGGGUUUAAACUACAUAAUGACUCUAUCUCUGUGUUGGAGGUGUUCCCUGUGCAGUACAGCUCUAGGUAUGAUACAGCGCUGCAGAUACUGGUGUGGCAGUUCUUUGACAGACUGGAGGAGAUGCUGCCAGUGCUCAACUUUACACAGUACUGAUGCCACUCACAGGAGGGGGUCCCUGGUUCAGGCCCUGGUUGGAGCGAGGAGAGGUCCCUGGUUCAGGCCCUGGUUGGAGCGAGGAGAGGUCCCUGGUUCAGGCCCUGGUUGGGGCGAGAAGAGGGCCCUGGUUGGAGUGGGCCCUGGUUUGGGCGAGGAGAGGUCCCUGGUUCAGGAGCUGGUUGGGGCGAGGUGCGGGCCCUGGUUGGGGCGAGGAGCGGGCCCUGGUUGGGGCGAGGAGCGUGCCCUGGUUGGGGCGAGGAGCUGGACCUGGUUGGGGCGAGUAGCAGGCCCUGCUUGGGGUGAGGGGAAGGCCCUGGUUCUGGCCCUGGUUUGGACGAGUAGAGGUCCCUGGUUUGGGAGAGGAGAGGUCUCUGGUUGGGGUGAGGAGAGUUCCCUGGUUCGGGCCCUGGUUGGGGCGAGGACAGGGCCCUGGUUGGGGAGAGGAGCGGGCCCUGGUUGGGACGAGGACAGGGCCGUGGUGCGGGCCCUGGUUCUGGCCCUGGUUGGGGCGAUGGGAGGGCCCUGGUUGGGAAAGGGCCCUGGUGCGGGCCCUUGUUGGGGCGAGGGGAGGGCCCUGGUGUGGGACCAGGUUGGGGUGAGUGGAGAGAUAGAAGCUGUUCUACUUAUUAUUCUCUCCCUCUCAGACAGCAUCUAUUCUCAACCUGACCCCUACUGA